Long non-coding RNA from Carlito syrichta (Philippine tarsier), 299 nucleotides. RefSeq lists it as uncharacterized. NCBI's taxonomy places the organism in Eukaryota, Metazoa, Chordata, Mammalia, Primates, Tarsiidae. The record is from RefSeq and is a predicted model, not a curated record. The transcript has 3 exons.
CUCGCGUUUCCGGCCGGAGGGCUUCUUCCGCCGCUCCCGGAAGCUGCGCUUGCUGCCGGGAUAACGGGUCCCGGCGCUGGCUGAUCCCACUUCGCAGUGAUGGACCUGGAGGAGACCAAAGAGUUUAAAGAACGCUGUACACAGUGUGCUGCUAUCUCUUGGGGUCUUACAGAUGAAGGCAAAUAUUAUUGCACUUCUUGCCACAAUGUUACAGAGAGAUCUAAGGAAGUUGUAAACACUGAGGCUAUUCCUAAUACCAAGAUAAAAGCCAUCAACCGGGGACUUAAAAGGAAAACAAA